UACGUAGGGGGCAAGCGUUGUCCGGAAUUAUUGGGUUUAAAGGGUGCGUAGGCGGACCUAUAAGUCAGUGGUGAAAGCCCCAAGCUCAACUUGGGAACUGCCAUUGAUACUGUUGGUCUUGAGUACAGUUGAGGUAGGCGGAAUGUGUCAUGUAGCGGUGAAAUGCUUAGAUAUGACACAGAACACCGAUUGCGAAGGCAGCUUGCUAAGCUGUAACUGACGCUGAUGCACGAAAGCGUGGGUAGCAAACAGG
Molecule: ribosomal RNA, 253 nt
Filed under: uncultured bacterium
Lineage: Bacteria
Description: partial 16S ribosomal RNA
Rfam family: Bacterial small subunit ribosomal RNA
Source: RNAcentral